CGUGUAGGCGGCCUGUCAAGUCAGAUGUGAAAGCCCUGGGCUUAACUCAGGAAGUGCGUCUGAAACUGGCGGGCUUGAGUACGGGAGAGGAGAGCGGAAUUCCUAGUGUAGAGGUGAAAUUCGUAGAUAUUAGGAAGAACACCGGUGGCGAAGGCGGCUCUCUGGACCGAUACUGACGCUGAGACGCAAAAGCGUGGGGAGCAAACAGGAUUAGAUACCCUGGUAGUCCACGCCGUAAACGAUGGGAACUAGGUGUAGGGGGUGUUGACCCCCCCUGUGCCGCAGCAAACGCAUUAAGUUCCCCGCCUGGGGAGUACGGUCGCAAGAUUAAA
RNAcentral lists this ribosomal RNA (332 nucleotides) under uncultured bacterium. Its description in RNAcentral is "bacterial SSU rRNA". It matches the Rfam family "Bacterial small subunit ribosomal RNA", at positions 568 to 898 of the family's 1533-position model. The record is from RNAcentral.